Molecule: unclassified non-coding RNA, 258 nt
Filed under: plant metagenome
Description: partial contains small subunit ribosomal RNA, internal transcribed spacer 1, and 5.8S ribosomal RNA
Rfam family: Eukaryotic small subunit ribosomal RNA (bases 1-54)
Source: RNAcentral
GGAAGUAAAAGUCGCAACAAGGUUUCCGUAGGUGAACCUGCGGAAGGAUCAUUACUGAGUGAGGGCCCCUCGGGGUCCAACCUCCCACCCGUGUUUAACGAACCUUGUUGCUUCGGCGGGCCCGCCUCACGGCCGCCGGGGGGCAUCUGCCCCCGGGCCCGCGCCCGCCGAAGCCACCUGUGAACGCUGUCUGAAGUAUGCAGUCUGAGACAAUUAUUAAAUUAAUUAAAACUUUCAACAACGGAUCUCUUGGUUCCG